Panonychus citri (citrus red mite) is the source of this 1738-nucleotide long non-coding RNA. RefSeq lists it as uncharacterized. The transcript is spliced from 2 exons. The record is from RefSeq and is a predicted model, not a curated record. Lineage: Eukaryota; Metazoa; Arthropoda; Arachnida; Trombidiformes; Tetranychidae.
AGCAGUUUAAGAGAAAUCGAUUUUAAUCUUGAUAUUCAUUCAGUUGAAUAGAAAUUUUUUCAGAAAAAUAUUCAAAGCAUGGUUGGGAUGAUGAGAAUCUUCAAAUUUUAAUUGGAUCAAUAACUAAGAAGAUGGCUAUGGAUAAAUGUCGCUCAUUAUCAUUGAUUGUUCGAUGGCCAACAGGACUGAUUUUUCAACCGAUUGAUUCAUUUUGGGCGGGAAAUUAUACCAGACGUUUCAAGGUCAAUUCUGAAGCUUCAAAUCUCACUGAACAUUCAUGACAAUUCUCAUGAUUGCUCACUGCUGCCAUCUAAAGAUGAAAUUAGAUAACCUGAAGCAAGAAAUCUUCGAUAGCUGUGUGACUAUUAUUAAGAACAAAAACUUUUUUACUUUUUUCAUGUUCGAAAAUUUUGAUAAAUAUACAGUGUUUCCCGAUUGAAAUGACCAAAUUUUCAAUUGAGAAAACCUUUUUUUCAUUUGAAGUAACCGAAGAUAAAAAUAUGAAUUUACAUAUUGUUAGUUUUUAUAUGGAGAAACCCAAAUGGUUUUACUCGUAUACCAAUCGAGAUCAAUGAUACGAGACUUCGGACCUUCAUUUUUUGGCUAUUAAUGUUAAAGAAAAAAUUGGUUUACAAAUAAAGUUUCAUAUUCAAAAUCAUCAUACAUGUGAUUUCGACUUAGAAUUAAUUAAUUAAUCACAAUUAAAAGUCAUUUUGUUUCUUCAAAUGAAAAAAAGGUUUUCUUACUUGAAAGUUUGGUUUCUUCAAUCGGGAAACACUGUAAAUAAGAAAAUAUUUUGAAAUGAUGCAUCGAAUUGAGUGGGAAAAAAUUAGGUCACCAAAUGGUUAUAACGUUAGACUCGAGCACCGAUACAACGAUUUAAGACAAUAAACGAGAUAGAGUAGAUGAGUUGUAUUACAGUGGACCAAUAUUAUUAUAUUAUAUUGGACCAAAGAAAAGGGUGAUGAAAAGCCCGAGGGUUUAGUCAGUUGGCUGAUGUUACAUGACUAAAGUCAGUUUCUAGUGAAUCAAUACUCAAUUCUAGCAUUUUAUUAUAAUAAUAUAAAAGACAAGCGGAAACAAACUUUCUUACGAAAGUUUGUUAAGGUUGUUUGCCAGACCCGUGGUUUAUUGAAUCGGGAAUCGUUUUUUAAUCGAAAAAUUCGAAACUAAACUCUUUCUUUUUCUUUUCUCUCGUCUCUUUCUCUGUCUUUUUGAAAUGCGCGCUGUAACAAAGCUUAACUGCGCAUGCGCACAUAGAAAUUUUCGAGUCAGAAUUUCUUAUGACAGCUACUCAGAUUUUUUUCGUACUAUUUUUCGUAACUGUAACUUAUUAGUAUUUUCCGCUCUAUUUUUUGGUACCUUAACAUCUCAUAGAAUCUUUUAUCUCGAGCACAAUCUUUACCCAAAAUUUGAGCUUAUCUUAUUCAAGUUUGUAGAAGAAGAAGAUGCUUGAAAUUUGGUUAACAUUUGUCGAAAAAUUUUCAAUUGAUUAAGAGAAAAACAAUUAAAUUCAAAGUCAUAUGUCAAUAUUGAUUAGAUGCACGGAAAUAAUAUCAAUUUAAUAAAUUCAAUAAUCAAGAUUAGUUGCAAACAAUCAAGAUAAUUUUGAAUCAAUCGAUUAAUGGUUUCAUGGAUUUGGGGUCAAAGCAUAACUCUCGUGUCGCAAAUACAAUCGUAUCUUUCAUCAACUUCAACAUCAAGUACAUUUCGUUUUAGUACAGAGGUCAAAUGAAUG